This is a long non-coding RNA of Gorilla gorilla gorilla (western lowland gorilla), 5011 nucleotides long. RefSeq lists it as uncharacterized. The transcript has 4 exons. The record is from RefSeq and is a predicted model, not a curated record. NCBI's taxonomy places the organism in Eukaryota, Metazoa, Chordata, Mammalia, Primates, Hominidae.
UGUGUGUUGAGUGUGAGUGUGUCUCUGUGUGUGUAGGGGUCGAGGUGGGGGGGUCCGUGUUUGCGAUCUGAACCUUUGGUACCUACAAGGAGGGUGUCUCACCGAACGGUAGCUAAAACCUCACCAGAACCGCGCGGAAGUGAGAAGUCGCGGCCAAAGGCGCUCGCAGAAGCCUCCUCUCUGGGCCGCACCCCAGCCCGAGCGGCCGAAAGGAGCCCCCCGCCCGGAUCACAGCUGCUGCAGCUGCCGCUGAAAUUCGCUGUGGCCGCUGCCUCUUCCCGCUUUAAUCCCAGACCUCCAGUCAUUGGGCAGCUCCUCAGAGGCAAGAAGUCAACACCAUGGCAACCCGACAAGCCUAUCAAAUCACCGGCUGGCGUGACAGCAGCAACACUGCAGGCAGGCGUGGGCUGGGCGGAAGAGCAGAGUGGCCACUGCGCUCAGAACUUUACAAGGAAAGGGGAAAUGUCUGAAAUGGAGAUUGCACAAUCCUGUCUUGAAGCAGAAGACUCAGCCAGAGCACAUCUGGAAACACCCGGCACUCCUCAAUAGAAUUCAAAUGCUAUUUUAAAAGAUGUAAAAUCUGAGCUGCAACACUGAACAAAAGCUGUACUUGCCAGCCAGCAAAGAUGCUACCACUCUGCACAACAGAUAAAAGCCAUAUAUAUAGGGAAGUCAAAAGAGUCUUUAAGCUACAGUGUUUGAGAGGCUGUUUGUCUCUGAUGGAAAAUUAAGAAAACGGUAAGAGCAGCGUUAGCAUGAGGUGUUCAUUCCAAAUUUGUCACUGCAGUGUGUGUGGCAUUGUGUGCCAAAACAACUCUUCAAGCAAAAACACCUCCAGCAAACUUCCUCCUUCACUUCAAACCUCAUCUUCAAUUACAAUGUGGUUCCUACAAAGUAACGGGCUGUUGUCCUCUCUUCAGACCUGUGGUGCUUCUGCGCACUAGCCCUGUAGACCAUCAAGGCCUAAAAAUAGCUGCUGGAUUCAAUGAGACAUGAAGCUGACAGAAAUGGCAUCAAGCUAAUUGGCAACAAACUCUAUGAAACCUACUCAGGAAAUCAUAUUUUUAUGCUGAACACCAAGUGGAUUCUUGUUUGAAUGUGAGGCUAACUUAUUUUUAUAUUUAUAUUUCAAAUAAAACAAAGGGGUAUUGUUAAAGAAGAACCUUUUUAUUUCCCUUAUUAUAUAUUUAUUUAAUCCUUUUAAAAGUUUUGUUAGCAAAAUCUUUGGAUUCAGUGAUAUUUAUUUGAAAAGAUUGUUAUCCACACAUUAUGAAUAAGAAAGUGGGGCAUAAAGAGGUGAAAUGACAUGUCCUUAGUCAAAACAUAGACAACUUGAUUCUAAUCUAUCAGGAAAGACGACGAUAUUUAUAAGUAACCAGAACACAAAGUGCUAAGUUCAAUACUCAUAUUUUGAAUAACACAAGAAGUAAAAUCCUUUAUUUAAAGAAUCAAAGGGUUAUCAGAAGAGAAGUUAUUGGUGGAUGAUCACAGAGCUAAUAGCCAUAAUUAUACAUGACCUGCUGGAAGAUGGAAAAAACAUAACACAAAUCUUACCAUUUCCUCUGGUAGUUGAUUCAUAAGAAAACUCUUAGGUCUUGAUUGUUUACUUGAGAGUGUUGCUAUUAUUACUCAACUUAUUUAAAAAAAAACGGAAAAGUUAGUUUUGAUGGCUGUUGUUGUCUGGAAGAAAUAGACUAUAUUCAAAAUAAAAAUUGCUUGAACAUGUCAACAUGAUUGCAUAAUUUUUCAAAUGUUGAUUCCUAAUACACAGAUUGUAAGGAUUCAGUUCACUGGAUGAGAUGUUGUUUUUAGAAAUGAUCUGCCUUCUCUGUUCAUUCACAUUCAAUUCAAGAAGUAGGAAAUUAUUCUGGAAUCUUUUUUCUCAUUAUGGUCUUGAUGUGAAAUUCAUUUCGUGGUUGCUGAGCAUCCUGAAAAUACAGUGGAUGGUUGCAACUACAUAUUCCUCUCUGGUGAUUUUACUACAACUGCUCAAAUAACAAAUGAUAAAAUGUUUUAGAUGGUAUAUUAUUUAUUUUACUUGUCUUAAUGGUGAAUUUACUUAGUGUUUUCAAAAGGAAUUCCAUUUCAGAAUAUAAAAUAGCAUUCUAAAAUUCUAUAAAAUGUAGAUAAUUUAGAAACCUGAGUUAUAAAAUACAUAAAUAUGAUUCAAACAUAUAAUCAAAAUAAAAUAUAUGACUUUUAUAAUAUCUUUCUGCUCUAGUUAAUCUUUCUGCCUCCAUUAAUUACUGUAACAUACCUUGAGGUAGGUAGAAAUAAAUUAACUAUGUUUAAGCUGUAAUGAAUUUUUGGGCAGUGCCCAGCAGAAAAUAAUAUUGAACACAAGACAGAAUUGUGACUUCCAGAUUUCCAUUUGAAGGUCUUAUAUGCUGGGAGAAAACUAUAAUUUAUUAUCACAAUAACAUUUCUAAAUCAAGUCAGUUUCAAAGAGAAGUUGAUUUACUCUGAUUUAGGCAGCAUUUCCUCUAAAUGUGGAAAAGGUUUUUAAGUUACUUUACCUGGAAAGACAUUUUUAUCAGAUGGCAACGAUUUUACUCACACUUUCUAUAGUUUUCUAUAUCCAAGUUGUGAUUCUUCUUAAACAAUCUAGAAGAUAUGCAGUACUAAUGCUUUAGGAUAUCAUCUCCAUUUUUAUUGAUAUAAGUACAACUUCAGAAUAAUUUGUUUUAGGCCUUUCUAAGAUGACUUUAGCUAUAGAGUUUGGGGACAGGAUGAAUUAGAUACCUUAGAUAUGUCUGAUCCUAAAAAUGUAGGUUCUGAAAUAUAUUGCACUAGUUUUCAAACAAUUAAAAUAAUUAAGUACACCGUCUUAGAUAGAUAAAUAUAUUUUCCAACUCAUGGCAAACGAAUUGCUCUGUAUAAAGAAAAUGUAACUAAAUAUUAGCAGUUACUUGAUAAUGCAUUUACUUAUAGUCCUGCAGAAAAGAAGAUGCUGGCUGGCUGGCUGACAAUAUUAACUUGGAACACCCUGGUGUAUCCAGAUCCUCCUGGGAGUGUCUCUAGGGGCAGGUUGCAGAGCUUCAACCUUCUCCCUGGCCCGUGCAACAGAAGCAGAUUUAAGGAUGGCCCCAGACUGAGAGAGAUGGAGACAGAGAUAGAAAUAAAGAGCAAGAGCCAGAGUGGGAGACAGUGUGUGAGAACAUCCUUAGAAGACCAAAUUAGCAUUAAAAAAUUACAACGAUUUUCUGGGUUAGAUGUAAAGGCAAGAAUAUAAAUUUGAAAAAUGGACCUUGAAAGAUUGUAGAAAAUUAGUACACAAGAACAUCAUGUAAAAAGGAAUUAGAGGAUUUUUGUUAGCAGCAAACUCAGUAAAUUAACAAUAAAAUGAGGGAGUCCAAUUGCUCACUUUAUUUUUGUUGUUGUUAAUGUAAUACUAAUAGGAACAGAGUGCCUAGAGAAAAUAAGAUGAUAUCCUGGGGAAAAACAGUUGGUGCAUCAUUUUCAGUCCUUGUCAGCAUACAUUUAGAGCACAGAGUAUGUAAGGAGAGACCACUAGCGUAAGUGGGAGUUCUAGAAUCAAUAUUAUGUUAGUUAAAAAAGGUGAGACUGUUUUGUCUAAAAAAGUGAAGGCUGAGAAUGUAGUAACUCUCUUCAAAUAUAUGAAAAAUUGUUUCUAGAAAAGAGACUAAGCACAUUCCCUGUAGUGCUUUAAGAAUGCAAUCAGAACAGGCGAGGGUUGUAGAGAGGUAUAUUUCGCUACCGUACAGGACAGUUUUUCCCCCCCUCAAUCACUAUUGCUAUUCAUCAAGGCUCUAGUUUGUCUUAAGGGAGAAUAUGAGUUUUGUAUUACUAGAAAUAUUCAAUAUAACCUUUAUAAUUUUUCUUUUCUUUUUAUUUUCAAAUAGAGUCCAUUUCUAAGAAGAUGUGGUUUGAACAUACAGAGCUACAUAAUAUGAGUAAAAUAGGACCUAAUAGUAGUGUUCUCCAGCAUUGCUCUGCCUUUCCUUUUCUGGAUGUAACAACAUUACUAAGAAAGGAAGAAAAAGCAAAAAUCUGCUCUUGGGGAGAUUCCAGCAUGAUGGAAAGCCCCAAAUGGAAGUCUCUGCUUUGGUUACAGGACAUAAGGUUUAAUAAAUAAAAAGAUGCUCAUCUGGGAUGCUGCACCAAUUAUCAUGUACUAAAUAAGGUUACCUACUUCACUCUCCAGGUAGAAAUGUCUAUCAUAAGCAUGUGCCACAGAAGGUCUCACAAGUAUCAUUAUUGGCUGUGUUGAAUUUUGUUUUUAGUUCUGUUUUAUAAGGUCUGUAGUUUUACUUUCAGUGAGGAAGUGUUUUCUCAGGUUCUCAAGAAAGUAACAAAAUGCCAGCAUUGUCAAGGUCACCAUUGCCACUGAAUUAUCUUACUGUCUGAUUAUUCCAUCUUCCUCUGCAUCAUAUUAGCCUGAUGACUACGUUCUAAUUAUUUAAAGCGUUAUGUAAAUCAAAGCAGUAAAUGUAAUUUCUAGUCUUACUAGAUAUCAUGUACAUUAGGUCGAAUAACUCUAGAAAUGUCGUCAUAAUCAUGUCAUGUCUAAUGAUGACCUACUCAGCCCCUGCCAAAAUCAUUCAAUUACUCAUUUCAGCAUUUAUUUUUCUCAUGCCUCUCUUCAUGGCAUUUAAACAGCCCUCACAUCUCCCCUUUUACUGAGGUGUAAUGUUGUAUAAUGACAGAGAUGCUUUGCUUCCCAGAUUCAUAAUGUUACACUCUGUUUCAAAUCCUUUUGGAGACAAAUUGGGGAAUCAAUAUAUAAAUAAUGACACACUUAUUUUUAAUUAAAAUCACUGCUUUCACAGAAAUGGUAUAUUAAAAUUAUUUUUGCUAAAAGAAAUUUUAAAUACCUAUGUACGAUAAAAAGACUGCCAAUCCUUGGGAUCAAGAAUAUAAUUUGCCCCAAAUAACUUUUCUGUAAAAGUAGAAUUCUUAAUGGAAAAUAGAUUAAUACAUAUAAUUUCAAGAUUUAACCUUAAAAAUGGAAAUAAUGUGUCCAUUUUUAAAAAUAAAUCAUAUUUACAUA